GUUUGUCUGGACGGUGAGAGGAAGACCGACGGUUGUAACCAGUGCUCCUGUUUGGGAGGCGCCUGGGCUUGCACCUUCAGAGCCUGCGUCGACCCCGCAGAUACAUUUCCUGGAUCGCUGACAUGCAAGCUGGCUCCCCACAUCAAAGGGUGUUGAAAAAUCCCGCCACGAUAUCAAGAAUACCUGCUUGACUAAAUUAGGCAGGACAAUUGUUGGCUGAUCAAAGA
This 227-nucleotide long non-coding RNA is filed under the name Pollicipes pollicipes. Its description in RNAcentral is "uncharacterized LOC119097430". The record is from RNAcentral. Lineage: Eukaryota; Metazoa; Arthropoda; Thecostraca; Pollicipedomorpha; Pollicipedidae.